CGUACACUCCUGCGGGAGGCAGCAGUGGGGAAUAUUGGACAAUGGGCGCAAGCCUGAUCCAGCCAUGCCGCGUGAGUGAUGAAGGCCCUAGGGUUGUAAAGCUCUUUCACCGGUGAAGAUAAUGACGGUAACCGGAGAAGAAGCCCCGGCUAACUUCGUGCCAGCAGCCGCGGUAAUACGAAGGGGGCUAGCGUUGUUCGGAUUUACUGGGCGUAAAGCGCACGUAGGCGGACUAUUAAGUCAGGGGUGAAAUCCCGGGGCUCAACCCCGGAACUGCCUUUGAUACUGGUAGUCUUGAGUUCGAGAGAGGUGAGUGGAAUUCCGAGUGUAGAGGUGAAAUUCGUAGAUAUUCGGAGGAACACCAGUGGCGAAGGCGGCUCACUGGCUCGAUACUGACGCUGAGGUGCGAAAGCGUGGGGAGCAAACAGGAUUAGAAACCCGAGUAGUCC
This 449-nucleotide ribosomal RNA is filed under the name uncultured organism. Its description in RNAcentral is "partial 16S ribosomal RNA". It matches the Rfam family "Bacterial small subunit ribosomal RNA", at positions 330 to 796 of the family's 1533-position model. The record is from RNAcentral.